GAUGAACGCUGGCGGCGUGCCUAAUACAUGCAAGUCGAGCGAACGGACGAGAAGCUUGCUUCUCUGAUGUUAGCGGCGGACGGGUGAGUAACACGUGGAUAACCUACCUAUAAGACUGGGAUAACUUCGGGAAACCGGAGCUAAUACCGGAUAAUAUUUUGAACCGCAUGGUUCAAAAGUGAAAGACGGUCUUGCUGUCACUUAUAGAUGGAUCCGCGCUGCAUUAGCUAGUUGGUAAGGUAACGGCUUACCAAGGCAACGAUGCAUAGCCGACCUGAGAGGGUGAUGGGCCACACUGGAACUGAGACGCGGUCCAGACUCCUACGGGAGGCAGCAGUAGGGAAUCUUCCGCGCUGGGCGAAAGCCUGACGGAGCAACGCCGCGUGAGUGAUGAAGGUCUUCGGAUCGUAAAACUGUGUUAUGAGGGAAGAACAUAUGUGUAAGUAACUGUGCACAUCUUGACGGUACCUAAUCAGAAAGCCACGGCUAACUACGUG
Molecule: ribosomal RNA, 497 nt
Filed under: uncultured bacterium
Lineage: Bacteria
Description: partial 16S ribosomal RNA
Rfam family: Bacterial small subunit ribosomal RNA
Source: RNAcentral